CAGCCGCCGCGGUAACCCCAGCGCCACAAGUGGGAUCCACGCUUAUUGGGUCUAAAGCAUCCGUAGCCGGUUCUGCAAAUGCCCUGUGAAAUCGUUGCGCUUAACGUAACGGCGUGCAGGGUAGACUACAGAACUAGAGACCAGAGGAAGGAGACGGUAUUCCUGAGGGAGCGGUAAAAUGUGAUAAUCUCAGGAGGACCACCGAUGGCGAAGGCAGUCUACUAAUAUGGAUCUGACGGUGAGGGAUGAAAGCUAGGGGAGCGAUCCGGAUUAGAUACCCGAGUAGUCCUAGCCGUAAACGCUGCAUGCCAGAUGUUACACAAUCUUCGAGAUUGUGUAGUGUCGAAACGAAGGUGUUAAGCAUGCCACCUGGGAAGUACGGUCGCAAGGCUGAAACUUAAAGGAAUUGGCGGGGGAGCACC
This 422-nucleotide ribosomal RNA is filed under the name uncultured archaeon. RNAcentral describes it as "bacterial SSU rRNA". It matches the Rfam family "Archaeal small subunit ribosomal RNA", at positions 459 to 880 of the family's 1478-position model. The record is from RNAcentral.